This 155-nucleotide ribosomal RNA is filed under the name uncultured bacterium. RNAcentral describes it as "partial 16S ribosomal RNA". It matches the Rfam family "Bacterial small subunit ribosomal RNA", at positions 355 to 509 of the family's 1533-position model. The record is from RNAcentral.
UGAGGAAUAUUGGUCAAUGGGCGAGAGCCUGAACCAGCCAAGUCGCGUGAGGGAAGACGGUCCUACGGAUUGUAAACCUCUUUGUCGGGGAGCAAUAAGGCGUACGCGUACGCAGAUGCGAGUACCCGAAGAAAAGCAUCGGCUAACUCCGUGCC